GAAGCAAAGGGAAGGAGAGCCAGUCAAAUGACGGAGAAAGAAGGAAGCACUCCUGAGGACCUACUGUGUGCUGAACAGCAGACCACAAGCAGACCCUGCCUGGACAACUACUCCUUGAUCUUUUCCGGAUGGCACCUUUGUAUUUCCUCCUUGGAGAAGUCCUUGUUUGUGAUGGCCGCACCCCCAGCUGGCAAAUGUGUGUGGCUCUCCUCUGGCCCACCUGAGGUCAAGGUGGGAUAAAGGGAGGCCUGUGCUCACAGCCAAGCUUCCACCCCACCCCGGAACUUCUUGAGAGGUAUGCUUCAGGGAGAGGGACAAUGAUGUGUGGCCCUUCCCUCUGCCAGCAGCUCUUCCCAUCCGGCUGUGGAUUAAAGGAGCCUGGGUCACUGCCCAGGCAGAAUAAAGCCUGCAAACAUCCUGAGGAUGUGCCCCUCCUUGGCAGGAAAACAGUAGAGAGGGUGAGGGUGAGGGCUUGGGUCUCCCUGAGCUUCACCCUACCUGAGCCUGUGCACACACCCGUGCACACACAUCACAGUCACGUC
RNAcentral lists this long non-coding RNA (542 nucleotides) under Homo sapiens (human). Its description in RNAcentral is "HSALNT0097424". Lineage: Eukaryota; Metazoa; Chordata; Mammalia; Primates; Hominidae. The record is from RNAcentral.